UUCCAGACUCCUACGGGAGGCAGCAGUGGGGAAUAUUGCACAAUGGGGGGAACCCUGAUGCAGCGACGCCGCGUGGGUGAAGAAGCGCCUCGGCGCGUAAAGCCCUGUCAGCAGGGAAGAAAAUGACGGUACCUGAAGAAGAAGCCCCGGCUAACUACGUGCCAGCAGCCGCGGUAAUACGUAGGGGGCAAGCGUUAUCCGGAUUUACUGGGUGUAAAGGGGGCGCAGACGGCGAUGCAAGCCAGGAGUGAAAGCCCGGGGCCCAACCCCGGGACUGCUCUUGGAACUGCGUGGCUGGAGUGCAGGAGGGGCAGGCGGAAUUCCUGGUGUAGCGGUGAAAUGCGUAGAUAUCAGGAGGAACACCGGUGGCGAAGGCGGCCUGCUGGACUGCAACUGACGUUGAGGCCCGAAAGCGUGGGGAGCAAACAGGAUUAGAUACCCCUGUAC
This 447-nucleotide ribosomal RNA is filed under the name uncultured bacterium. Its description in RNAcentral is "bacterial SSU rRNA". It matches the Rfam family "Bacterial small subunit ribosomal RNA", at positions 329 to 793 of the family's 1533-position model. The record is from RNAcentral.